AGGAUGAACGCUGGCGGUCUGCUUAACACAUGCAAGUCGAACGGAGUAGCAAUACUUAGUGGCGGACGGGUGAGUAACGCGUGAGAAUCUACCUUCAGGACGGAGACAACAGUUGGAAACGACUGCUAACCCCCGAUGUACCGAAAGGGCAAAUAUUUAUAGCCUGAAGAAGAGCUCGCGUCCGAUUAGCUAGUUGGAGAGGUAAAAGCUCACCAAGGCGACGAUCGGUAGCUGGUCUGAGAGGACGAUCAGCCACACUGGGACUGAGACACGGCCCAGACUCCUACGGGAGGCAGCAGUGGGGAAUUUUCCGCAAUGGGCGAAAGCCUGACGGAGCAAGACCGCGUGGGGGAAGAAGGCUCUUGGGGUUGUAAAACCCCCUUUUCUCUGGGAAGAACGCAAUGACGGUACCAGAGGAAUCAGCAUCGGCUAACUCCGUGCCAGCAGCCGC
Molecule: ribosomal RNA, 451 nt
Filed under: uncultured bacterium
Lineage: Bacteria
Description: SSU rRNA
Rfam family: Bacterial small subunit ribosomal RNA
Source: RNAcentral